Lytechinus variegatus (green sea urchin) is the source of this 1822-nucleotide long non-coding RNA. RefSeq lists it as uncharacterized. Lineage: Eukaryota; Metazoa; Echinodermata; Echinoidea; Temnopleuroida; Toxopneustidae. The transcript has 2 exons. The record is from RefSeq and is a predicted model, not a curated record.
ACUAUACAUAUACCAUUUUGUUUUUAGACGUGUGUUCAUAAUCAUGUUCAAGAAUUGAUGCACUGUAUAUUGAAAACUCAUUGCUCAUAGAUGUCCUGCUUUGUACAAUUACUGCAGAUCUGUUUGUUUUAAUGUUUAAUAUGCCUUGAGUGUAAAACCAAAGGCAACAUUUGAGUAUUUUGAAGGGGGGGGGGGUGAUGUGAGGGUGAGAAAAUCUAAUGGGAUAUUUUUCUGUUGAAAAGUUAAUGUACUGUAUAAUUUCUUUGAUCACAACCCAAAACUCGUUUUUACAAUACUCCCCCUUUUCCUUUCUUUUUGUCACUUGAAAGCUAUAGAGAGGAACAUGAUUCCCCCCUGAGUGGUGACCCCUAUGUAAAUGAAAAACAAGGCCAUAACAAAAAUUUUGAUAUUAAGAAUAUGAAACAUUCUUGUAUUUUUCAGAUGUUCUUCAUAUUACAUGUAUCACUCUGAGUUUAGCAUGAACUGAGAAUACAUGUGACUGCAGAUUUUUUUUUUUUGGGGGGAGGGGGUUGCCAAUUUUGCUUACUUGAAAAUGUACAAUUUUUUUUAUGAUAAUAAAACAAGAUUUUCAACAAGGAAAUGUUUCACAACCUUUUCUGCCAGAACUGCAAUUUUCUUUACAUGUCAAGCUUUGCUCACUUUGCAGCUUGGUGAAAUACCCCUAUCUGAAAAUUGAAUUGAUAAAAGUGAACUCAUCCACUGUCAAAUCAGAGGUAUCUGGUCCCAAAGUUAAAAUUCAUCAAACAUGAGAGCGAGCACAGGCCUAAACUACUAGUUCAUAUAUACAGGACAGAAACUAUGCAACAUACGGUAUGGCAAUACUAUCCUUCAAUAAUGGUGUACAUUUUUAUAGGUUUUUUCUGGCAUGUGGUCAAUUUGAGGUGCCAAUUUUAAAUCAAUUAACAAUUAGUUCCAGCUGAUCAAUUAAUGCAUUGGCAUGUUUGGCAAAUUCAGAUUUGAUAUAUGUAAUGCUCAUUUUAAUUUUGUGCUAUUUUCGCAAGUUUACCAUUUCAAUUGCUUCAUGGGCAUUUUAAAUAAUUGAAGUAGAAUUUUUUUUUUAUCAUGAAGGUAUCAUUCAAAAGAAAUCGCCCAUCCCCUGUAGGGAUAUGUAUUUUGUUUUUUUGUAUGAAUUCAAAUGCUGAAGUCUGGGAAAAAGCAUUUCUAUUAUUUCAUUAUGUUAUUGUCAUGUAGUAAUAUUAACAUUCAUGUGCUCUUUGAAAUUAUUAUUCAUACAUGUGCAGAACUAAAGAUGUGUCCUAAACUUUGUUUUAUUUUUCUAUUAUGUGUAUUCAAGGUAAUCAUUAAGCAUUGAUGGUUUUAAGUUUUCAAAUAUAUUGGUUAGCAACAUAUUAUGUAAAGUGUGUACUAACUAUACCUAGUAGGUAUUAUGUUCAUGUAGACAGACUUCAUCUGUUUUGUAUGAUAUUGGUAGAAAUGUUAAGAGACAAAUAAGAGUUGUUGAACAUAUAUUUCAAUAUAUUUACUUGAAUAAAGUGACCUAUCAUGUAGUUUUUUUUAGUGUGAUAAACCUGUUCACUGAACAAUAAAUUCAACUAUUCUCUUCAAUGGUAUGUAAUGACCAGAUAUACAAUAGAACAAUUUGAACUUUUAAAAUGAAAAUCUAAUUUCUAUUACUUCAUGCCCAAACAGCUUUAUGAAACACCCACCAGGCCACUUAUUUGCUAGACCCAACCAGGUUAUGUGGUGGUGCAUGCAUGGUAAUCAAGGGAGAAAUUUAUCUUACAGGGUAAUCCAGACAUUUUAGUUUCAAUAAAGAGAUGUAUAUUGGUGUAAAAAUUGC